This 253-nucleotide ribosomal RNA is filed under the name uncultured bacterium. Its description in RNAcentral is "partial 16S ribosomal RNA". It matches the Rfam family "Bacterial small subunit ribosomal RNA", at positions 524 to 776 of the family's 1533-position model. The record is from RNAcentral.
UACGGAGGGUGCAAACGUUGCUCGGAAUCAUUGGGCGUAAAGAGCUCGUAGGCGGCUUGUCGCGUCGUCCGUGAAAACCCACAGCUCAACUGUGGGCUUGCGGUCGAUACGGGCAGGCUGGAGUUCGGUAGGGGAGACUGGAAUUCCUGGUGUAGCGGUGAAAUGCGCAGAUAUCAGGAGGAACACCUGUGGUGUAGACAGCUUACUGGACCACUUCUGACGCUGAGACACGAAAGCGUGGGGAUCAAACAGG